RNAcentral lists this ribosomal RNA (430 nucleotides) under Pseudomonadota bacterium. Its description in RNAcentral is "Proteobacteria bacterium partial 16S ribosomal RNA". It matches the Rfam family "Bacterial small subunit ribosomal RNA", at positions 355 to 776 of the family's 1533-position model. The record is from RNAcentral. Lineage: Bacteria; Pseudomonadati; Pseudomonadota.
UGGGGAAUAUUGGACAAUGGGCGAAAGCCUGAUCCAGCCAUGCCGCGUGUGUGAAGAAGGUCUUCGGAUUGUAAAGCACUUUAAGCGAGGAGGAGGGUACUGGUAUUAAUACUACCAGGUACUGGACGUUACUCGCAGAAUAAGCACCGGCUAACUCUGUGCCAGCAGCCGCGGUAAUACAGAGGGUGCGAGCGUUAAUCGGAUUUACUGGGCGUAAAGCGUGCGUAGGCGGCUAAUUGAGUCGGAUGUGAAAUCCCCGAGCUUAACUUGUGAAUUGCAUUCGAUACUGGUUAGCUAGAGUGUGGGAGAGGAUGGUAGAAUUCCAGGUGUAGCGGUGAAAUGCGUAGAGAUCUGGAGGAAUACCGAUGGCGAAGGCAGCCAUCUGGCCUAGCACUGACGCUGAGGUACGAAAGCAUGGGGAGCAAACAGG